Molecule: transfer RNA, 29 nt
Filed under: Elephantopus mollis
Lineage: Eukaryota; Viridiplantae; Streptophyta; Magnoliopsida; Asterales; Asteraceae
Description: partial tRNA-Phe
Source: RNAcentral
AAGCUCAGUUGGAAGAGGAGAGACUGAAA